This 468-nucleotide ribosomal RNA is filed under the name uncultured bacterium. RNAcentral describes it as "partial 16S ribosomal RNA". It matches the Rfam family "Bacterial small subunit ribosomal RNA", at positions 28 to 507 of the family's 1533-position model. The record is from RNAcentral.
GACGAACGCUGGCGGCGUGCUUAACACAUGCAAGUCGAACGGAAAGGCCCUGCUUUUGUGGGGUUCUCGAGUGGCGAACGGGUGAGUAACACGUGAGUAACCUGCCCUUGACUUUGGGAUAACUUCAGGAAACUGGGGCUAAUACCGGAUAGGAGCUCCUGCUGCAUGGUGGGGGUUGGAAAGUUUCGGCGGUUGGGGAUGGACUCGCGGCUUAUCAGCUUGUUGGUGGGGUAGUGGCUUACCAAGGGUUUGACGGGUAGCCGGCCUGAGAGGGUGACCGGCCACCUUGGGACUGAGAUACGGCCCAGAGUCCUACGGGAGGCAGCAGUGGGGAAUAUUGCACAAUGGGCGGAAGCCUGAUGCAGCAACGCCGCGUGCGGGAUGACGGCCUUCGGGUUGUAAACCGCUUUCGCCUGUGACGAAGCGUGAGUGACGGUAAUGGGUAAAGAAGCACCGGCUAACUACGUG